UAUUGCAUCGAGAUUUGAAACCACAGAACCUCCUCAUUAAUGAAAAAGGAGAAUUAAAGCUAGCAGAUUUUGGACUAGCCCGAGCCAAGUCGGUUCCCACAAAGACCUACUCAAAUGAAGUUGUCACACUAUGGUACCGGCCACCUGAUGUGCUUCUUGGUUCCUCGGAGUACUCAACACAGAUUGACAUGUGGGGUGUUGGUUGCAUUUUCUUUGAAAUGGCUUCUGGAAGACCUUUAUUUCCAGGAUCAACUGUGGAAGAUGAACUGCACUUAAUUUUCCGACUGCUAGGAACUCCAUCUCAGGAAACUUGGCCAGGUAUUUCUUCAAAUGAGGAGUUCAAGAACUACAACUUUCCAAAAUAUAAACCACAGCCUCUAAUUAACCACGCACCCAGAGUCUCGCUCUUCCACCCAGGCCGGACUGCAGUGGUGCUAUCUCAGGUUAGACUCUGAAGGAAUUGAGUUGAUAACAAAAUUUCU
Molecule: small RNA, 482 nt
Filed under: Pan troglodytes (chimpanzee)
Lineage: Eukaryota; Metazoa; Chordata; Mammalia; Primates; Hominidae
Description: processed transcript
Source: RNAcentral